Molecule: long non-coding RNA, 512 nt
Organism: Malaya genurostris
Lineage: Eukaryota; Metazoa; Arthropoda; Insecta; Diptera; Culicidae
Exons: 3
Source: RefSeq, a predicted model, not a curated record
UGUGGGUGGCCUUUCCAGUCAGGUUAAAUAAUCGCUACGGCGAGAUGCGUUCAUCAGUGCAAACAACAAUCGAUGCGGUCACAAGUAUGGUCGUGUUUUGCGAAGACCGCACGAUUCAGCGAUAAUAGUACAUGUAUAAAGAAUUAAAGCAUCAAGAGUGGAGCGAAGCAAGAAACUGCUUAGUAAUCUUAAGAAGAGGACCACCGCCAUUCUAUUUACGGAUGAGAAGCUGUUUACUGUCGAUAUCGUGUCCAACAGUCGCCCCAAUUGUGUAUGGGCGAAUAUUGAAGCCCGUGUAUGUGAACAUCCUCACUCGAAUUUGAUCUCUCUACGGACCUUCAUUACAAUGCAUUGGAGAGAAAUGUCAUCAGAUUAUAUUGUCAAGGUUUGCAAAAGCUUUAGGCGUCGUCUAGAGGCGGAGGUCAUAUGGAGUGAAGACGAAGCUUAAUCUUCUACGAACAUUUUAUGUUAAUACAGGUUGUAUUUAUUAAUUAAUAAAAUUAAAAAUGUUA